AUUGAACGCUGGCGGCAGGCUUAACACAUGCAAGUCGAGCGGGGUGAUGGUGCUUGCACUAUCACUUAGCGGCGGACGGGUGAGUAAUGCUUAGGAAUCUGCCUAUUAGUGGGGGACAACAUCUCGAAAGGGAUGCUAAUACCGCAUACGUCCUACGGGAGAAAGCAGGGGAUCACUUGUGACCUUGCGCUAAUAGAUGAGCCUAAGUCGGAUUAGCUAGUUGGUGGGGUAAAGGCCUACCAAGGCUACGAUCUGUAGCGGGUCUGGGAGGAUGAUCCGCCACACGGGGACUGAGACACGGCCCAGACACAUACGGAGGGCAGCAGUGGGGAAUAUUGGACAAUGGGGGAAACCCUGAUACAGCCAUGCCGCGUGUGUGAAGAAGGCCUUAUGGUUGUAAAGCACUUUAAGCGAGGAGGAGGCUCUUUUGGUUAAUACCCAAGAUGAGUGGACGUUACUCGCAGAAUAAGCACCGGCUAACUCUGUGCCAGCCGCCGCGGUAA
Molecule: ribosomal RNA, 503 nt
Filed under: uncultured bacterium
Lineage: Bacteria
Description: partial 16S ribosomal RNA
Rfam family: Bacterial small subunit ribosomal RNA
Source: RNAcentral